Molecule: transfer RNA, 75 nt
Filed under: Gammaproteobacteria bacterium
Lineage: Bacteria; Pseudomonadati; Pseudomonadota; Gammaproteobacteria
Also listed under: 2 other names
Description: tRNA-Gln
Rfam family: tRNA
About the family: Transfer RNA (tRNA) molecules are approximately 80 nucleotides in length. Their secondary structure includes four short double-helical elements and three loops (D, anti-codon, and T loops).
Source: RNAcentral
UGGGCCGUCGCCAAGCGGUAAGGCACCAGGUUUUGAUCCUGGCAUUCGUUGGUUCGAUUCCAGCCGGCCCAGCCA